RNAcentral lists this ribosomal RNA (254 nucleotides) under uncultured bacterium. Its description in RNAcentral is "partial 16S ribosomal RNA". It matches the Rfam family "Bacterial small subunit ribosomal RNA", at positions 524 to 776 of the family's 1533-position model. The record is from RNAcentral.
UACGUAGGGGGCUAGCGUUGUCCGGAAAUCAUUGGGCGUAAAGCGCGCGUAGGCGGCCCGGUAAGUCCGUUGUGAAAGUCAAAGGCUCAACCUUUGAAUGCCGAUGGAUACUGCCGGGCUCGAGUCCGGAAGAGGCGAGUGGAAUUCCUGGUGUAGCGGUGGAAUGCGCAGAUAUCAGGAGGAACACCGAUAGCGAAGGCAGCUCGCUGGGACGGUACUGACGCUAAGGCGCGAAAGCGUGGGGAGCGAACAGG